AUACGGAGGGUGCAAGCGUUAAUCGGAAUUACUGGGCGUAAAGCGCGCGUAGGCGGUUAUUUAAGUCAGAUGUGAAAUCCCUGGGCUCAACCUAGGAACUGCAUCUGAUACUGGGUAACUAGAGUUUUAGAGAGGUAAGUGGAAUUUCCGGUGUAGCGGUGAAAUGCAUAGAGAUCGGAAGGAACACCAGUGGCGAAGGCGACUUACUGGCCAAAAACUGACGCUGAGGUGCGAAAGCGUGGGUAGCAAACAGCAUUAGAAACCCUAGUAGUCC
Molecule: ribosomal RNA, 274 nt
Filed under: uncultured bacterium
Lineage: Bacteria
Description: partial 16S ribosomal RNA
Rfam family: Bacterial small subunit ribosomal RNA
Source: RNAcentral